This 439-nucleotide ribosomal RNA is filed under the name uncultured bacterium. RNAcentral's name for it is "partial 16S ribosomal RNA". It matches the Rfam family "Bacterial small subunit ribosomal RNA", at positions 338 to 795 of the family's 1533-position model. The record is from RNAcentral.
CCUACGGGAGGCAGCAGUAGGGAAUCUUUCACAAUGGGCGAAAGCCUGAUGGAGCAACGCCGCGUGCAGGAUGAAGGCCUUCGGGUUGUAAACUUCUUUUAUUAGCGAGAAAUUUGACGGUACCUGAAGAAUAAGCUCCGGCUAACUACGUGCCAGCAGCCGCGGUAAUACGUAGGGAGCGAGCGUUAUCCGGAAUUAUUGGGCGUAAAGGUUGCGUAGAUGGCAUAGUAAGUCUUUUGUAAAAAUGCUGGUCUAAACCCAGUAGGGCAAAAGAUACUGCAAAGCUAGAGUAUGACAGAGGCAAGUGGAACUACAUGUGUAGCGGUAAAAUGAGUAAAUAUAUGUAAGAACACCAGUGGCGAAGGCGGCUGGCUGGGUCGAUACUGACAUUGAGGCACGAAAGCGUGGGGAGCAAACAGGAUUAGAUACCCUAGUAGUC